RNAcentral lists this long non-coding RNA (3259 nucleotides) under Brachypodium distachyon (stiff brome). RNAcentral describes it as "long non-coding RNA (BDIS_LNC001017)". Lineage: Eukaryota; Viridiplantae; Streptophyta; Magnoliopsida; Poales; Poaceae. The record is from RNAcentral.
AAGCAACGGCUCCCCCUGCUUGCGCGCCCCGGCCGGGCCUUCGUUGGUACCACUCGAUCCCAUAAGAGGUCGCUAUCUCAUCUCAAGCUUUCUUGUCCGUAAUGCUGUCAUCUACUUGCUGCUGAGCUUCACAUCAUCCCUUGGCCCAUAAUCACCAGCAUGUUCUCUCUGGUAAGUAUUCAUGCAUAACUAUUCCUCCCUUCUUUUGCCACGUCAUUAACUAACCUAGUUAAUAUAUAUCGCAUGGUUGCUCUUUUAAUAAAUUUUACCUGAUGGCUCGAGAUAUAUGCAACCAGGCUAGAGACCUAGCAAGAUUAUCUUUGUAGAUAUAUCCUUCUGAAGAAAAUGAUAUGCUUUGCUUUUAAAUUCAUUUCUUACCUUAAUUAAUUUGUAUGCAACUAUCUGAAUGUAAUCUUAUGAAAGUAGAGUUAUUGUUUUCCCUGAUUGAUAGAGCUAUACCUUGCUCCUUCUCAAGGGAAGUUUUAUGAGUAGCUAGCUAGUUGGAUGGCAGAUUAUCCAAACCUGUCAUAAACUCAUAAUGUUACCGCUCCAUGCUAAUAUGUAGCAUGGAUAAUUUUCACCCAUCGUCGUUUUCAAGUUUGUUGAAGUGAUUCACACAUGACAUGUGUUUAUUAUGUAUGAUGUCAAGUUAAGUUGGGGUUUUUCCUCUUUAGCAUACUGAUCUAACAUGAUAAUCACUGUUUUUGAACUAAGCUGUUUCUUUCCAAUCAAAUUUGUAAAUAUUAUUGUUCUGCUCUAGAACUGUCCGUUCCCUGUGACUAUAUGACGUGUGUUGUAGUGAGUUAUGUGUUAUCUACUUCAGUACUUGUUUUCGGUAUCAUUUCUGUGCUAGUAGCGAGAAUCUUGACAGAGACCAACAUUCCUCACUGAUUCCAUGAGUUAUUCCAGGACUCUGCCUGGGAGAAUGCCUGAUUGUAUUUCCUUGUUGAUGUAGGUACUCUCAUAGUAUAGUAGAACAUAACCCGCGUUGAACUUGAUAAAACAAUGCAAAGAACAUGUUAGACUAAAAUUCCUGGUUCAUCAUUAAGAAAUAACUGAACAUGCAUCCAGAGACCUAGGUAACUUUCUAGGUGAUACGCCUGAGCUGCAUAUAAUCCGAAGUUGGUUUUUGUCUAUCCCAUAGCCCUUUGUUUACAUGAAAGAAAGAAUUAGCAGAUGAUGAGCUGAAUGCAUACUCACAUGCAUCCAUACAGAGAAGAAUGAUGGCCCAUCCUUUGGACCACAGAGGUAGAACGAUUAGUCAUCCUUAUUUAGAUUAAGUAAGUGUCACACACAGUAUUUAGAUCUUUUCUUGUUUAUUUCAAUGUAAUUUAAUGUUCUUCUGUGAUCUACUUGUUCUUGAUAAUCUCUAUACUAAAUUAGCUGGUAGAUUUUAAAAUUGUUACUGUACUUGUAUCGAGAAAAAGCAUGGAAGUACUAGAAACAUUUAAGGCCACGAGUAUAUAUAAACAUCUUCUUAGAAUCAUAACAAGGUCAAGUUCUUUUUUUUUGCGGGGUGAUAACAAGGUGAAGUUGAUCUGCUGAACUUUUUUGUUCUAUGACACGUGGUUUAUAGCAAGAAAAUCCUAUAGGAUAUGUUUUAUCUAUAAGACAGUCCUUGUGUAAGCCAGUUAAUUCUUCACUACUCUGUUGUACACAUGGUCUCAGCAGGAAAUAGACAUUUUGGUAGUGCAAAUGGCAUGACAGUAGAGCAUUAGACACUGGUGUAGAUGAGACAAUUCGUUUUUUUUGGGUUUCAUAAAACAUAUGUACAUUAUAUGCAUUAUAUUAUAUAUAUGAUAUGAUUUAAGAAUUUUGAGUUAGCAAAAUUGUCACGAAACUAUUUCUCUUCAGGUAAAAUGCCAUGUAAAAAAGAAUAUAAAUGAGCAUUGAUGUUUGUGCAUACUGGUACAGGCAUGGUUGUCAAGUUCAUUGAAAAACCAACAGCUUAUACAAUCGCAUCACCUUCUACAAAUCAUACUUGAUGAAGUUUCUAUGUUCUCCAUGCUCUUAUUUCGUAUAUGUAGCAACACGGUGAUCAUUAUAUUUAGUACAACGCACUGAAACACGUAAGCAGCGUACAGUACUACACACAUCAUAUUACAGUCUUAUAUUUACAUGGUACUAUGUAAAUCAAAUUACUUAUCUGUCCAAUAAUUGAUAUCACAUGAUGAUCAUCAUCAUCCUUAUUAUUAUAGCUCCUUAAGAUAAUAAUUAUGUAUGAGAUACUAUAUUUGAUUAAGGGCAUCGUCACUUCCAUGGAUCAACUUGACUGCUUGAUGUCGAGGUGGACGCAUAAUCAGUUGCCCCCUCUUGCUUCUCGUUGAGCUGAAGAAUGCCUCCAUCAGUAUAAUCUACACCCUUGGUCGCAUCAUUACUAAGCUGGGAUGCAACAAACUUGUCCAGGACUCUCCAGUCAGUAGUGGAUUGGUCGACAGCUGCAUGAUCGAUAAGUUGAACAUGGUGGUGGGCAUUGACUUGGUGAUCAUCGGGCGAUACCAAAAGAGAAUGGAAGGAAGAUGUCUCUAGGUCAUGAGGAAUAAUGGUGCUGAGGACAUCGUGAUGAUGAUGGUUUGGCAUUUGGAAUUGUAGCUUCAGUUCCCUCUUGUAGGUGUUGUUGAGCAUCUGGAGGUGUUGUUCUUGCAGCGCCGCCAUGCUGUGGUGAGGGGGCAUUAUUCCGUUCAUCGUCGGAGCGUUGAGGUCAUGCAUGAAGGGCCCAUCGUCAUCGACAUACCAGCAGGGUGCAUCAUGGUCCAGAUCCCUUCUUGUUGCCGGUAAUCUCUUCUUGAACACCCUGCAUACUACCCAACCUUCUUCCUGAAAUUAAUCAAUAUACAUGGUCAAUCGAUCAGGUUAGCUGGAGGGCUACUUAAUUUAAACACCGACAAACAACAUUUGGGAGUUGAGACAAGACGUAGAUGUAUAAAUUGGAGUAUAGCUUAAAAAUUGCUUGCCUGUGGAGGGCCAUUCUCGUUGGUCUCGAGGCGGUACUCGUGCAUGAUCCAGUCGGACUUGUGGCCAUUGGGAGCCCUGCCUUUGUAGUAGACGAGGGUCUUCCUCAUGCCAACCAAGCAGUGCUUUGCAUAGAUGGGCUUGUCUCUCCCCGUCGCCUUCCAGAACCCCGCCGCGGUUGCCCGGUUUGUCCGAGUCCCUGUUGGGUAUUUCUUGUCCUUGUGGCUGAAGAAGUACCAAUCGCUCUGCUCCUCCUCAGGACCUAUCCUACAUUUCUCUGCAUAUAGGAAUGAAUGAAGGAAUGUAC